GCUUCCACAGCUGACACACCACGCGCACAGUAUUGACAAGAAAGGAAAAACAUUUUUCGGAGUUGUGAAACUUUCUAUUUCGUAAGGAGUUAUGAACGUGAAAUAAUGACACAGACUGGCUACACCAUCUCAUCUGCCGCAGAUACUGUAUCAGGAGGACAGCGCGUUUGUUUGAGGCACUGUUCACUUCAACUGUGUCUGACAGGAGAAUUAUCUUUUCUGAGCCUACUAGCCGUUGAGAGUUACCAUGGCAACCGCGGACACAUCAGCUGCUGGAGAGGAGAGGACUCGUCUGACAUUUUCUGUUUCUCGUCAGUUAAACCAAAGAAAAGUCCAACUGCGACUGAUUGGAGUGUCUAAAAAACCCUCUAAAACCGAGGGGAAGUUCCAAGAAAAUUUCUGAUGGGAGCUGCUGACAGAGAUAUAGAAAACACAGGUGAUCAGAGAAAGCUUAUUAAAUAACUUCAUAUUUAUUUUUUACAAUAUAUCAUCAUGCAUCUGUUAAAUCUAAAAAUGUGAAUUGUGAUAUCUUAAGAUUUGUUUGUAUGUUUUCCAUAUUACUAUUUUUCUUUUCUGCAUUUCCCCUAUUCUCUAGUUUGUUUACUUCUAAUAAGGAGUUGGAGGCCAUGGAGAAGCAGAUCCGUGACUUCGUGGAGAAGCAGAUCCGUGACCUCGUGGAGAAGCAGAUCCGUGACCUCGUGGAGAAGCAGGCUCAGCUGAGAGAGCGGAGAGCCGUGAUGGAAACAUUCAGGGGGUUGAUGCUCAUAAGUCCAGGGUAAGUA
Long non-coding RNA from Cyprinus carpio (common carp), 782 nucleotides. RefSeq lists it as uncharacterized. Lineage: Eukaryota; Metazoa; Chordata; Actinopteri; Cypriniformes; Cyprinidae. The record is from RefSeq and is a predicted model, not a curated record. The transcript has 3 exons.